RNAcentral lists this ribosomal RNA (440 nucleotides) under uncultured bacterium. RNAcentral describes it as "partial 16S ribosomal RNA". It matches the Rfam family "Bacterial small subunit ribosomal RNA", at positions 338 to 795 of the family's 1533-position model. The record is from RNAcentral.
CCUACGGGAGGCAGCAGUGGGGAAUAUUGCACAAUGGGGGAAACCCUGAUGCAGCGACGCCGCGUGAGUGAAGAAGUAUUUCGGUAUGUAAAGCUCUAUCAGCAGGGAAGAAAAUGACGGUACCUGAUUAAGAAGCCCCGGCUAACUACGUGCCAGCAGCCGCGGUAAUACGUAGGGGGCAAGCGUUAUCCGGAUUUACUGGGUGUGAAGGGAGCGUAGACGGCAGCACAAGUCUGGAGUGAAAUGCCGGGGCUUAACCCCGGAACUGCUUUGGAAACUGUGCAGCUAGAGUGCAGGAGAGGUAAGUGGAAUUCCUAGUGUAGCGGUGAAAUGCGUAGAUAUUAGGAGGAACACCAGUGGCGAAGGCGGCUUACUGGACUGUAACUGACGUUGAGGCUCGAAAGCGUGGGGAGCAAACAGGAUUAGAUACCCGGGUAGUC